AGAGAGAGACAUGCGCGCAUAUCAAUAAGCGGAGGAAAAGAAACUAACUAGGAUUCCCUCAGUAACGGCGAGUGAAGCGGGAAGAGCUCAAAUUUGAAAUCUUCAAGGUUCUACCUUGACGAAUUGUAGUUUAAAGAAGUGUUUUCUGUUGGAGUUUUGGUAAAAGUUCUUUGGAAUAGGACAUCAUAGAGGGUGAGAAUCCCGUAUUUGACCAUUAUUUCCAACUUUGUGAUACACUUUCAAAGAGUCGGAUUGUUUGGGAAUACAGUCCAAAAUGGGUGGUAAAUUUCAUCUAAAGCUAAAUACUGGCGAGAGACCGAUAGCGAACAAGUACCGUGAGGGAAAGAUGAAAAGAACUUUGAAAAGAGAGUUAAACAGUACGUGAAAUUGUCAAAAGGGAAGCGUUUGACACCAGUGUUGUUUUCUCGAAAAUCAAUUAAAAAUGGCUGGAUUUUGUGUUGUAUUGACUUUAUCAGCUUUCUGCACUUUUUUCUUGUCUUUUUUAAUGCACUUUUCGUUUAACAAGUCAACAUCAAUUUCUUUUGUUGUAAAAGAGUCAUUGGAAGGUGGCUUUCACUUCGGUGAAAGUGUUUAUAGCCUUGUACUUCUGCAAUCGGAGAGAUUGAGGUCUGCAGCGUAGAUCCUUCGGGGUUAGAUACACUUGUGCUAAGUUAUAGCUUUUCAUAGACAACUUGUUGAUUAUGAUUAGUCUUGUAGCUUACUCGCUUGUACUAUUUUACCUACGCUUAGGAUGUUGACAGCAGUAUAGACUGU
RNAcentral lists this ribosomal RNA (774 nucleotides) under uncultured Neocallimastigales. RNAcentral describes it as "partial large subunit ribosomal RNA". It matches the Rfam family "Eukaryotic large subunit ribosomal RNA", at positions 23 to 633 of the family's 3401-position model. The record is from RNAcentral. Lineage: Eukaryota; Fungi; Neocallimastigomycota; Neocallimastigomycetes; Neocallimastigales.